UCGAUGAGCAGGAGACAGCAUCACCCUUCUUUUCGUUUGCCGCAUGACAUCAAGGUCUUCGGUGAAAACAAAGAGGAGCUUGGUAUCAAAUCCAAAGGAUGUAGCGGCGGAUCGUGAGAUCUCGAAGUAGGAAUUGGUUGAAACAUAUAAGAAACUUGAUGCUAAAUUGCUCUAAAUAAAGAGAAAACAUGGGAUUUGGGUAUCUGCACGAUAUCGCUCAUAUCCGCUUUCCUUUUUACUCUCUUAUGCGUAUCUGCUGUGUUCGGGUCGCUUCCGAUAAAUUACGUGUUGCAUCAAUGCGAACCCUCCUCUCCGGGCUUCACCUCCGCCCGAAACCCUCCUCCUCGCAUCUACAUAACUCCGCGAUCCCUUGCUUGCCCAAAUCACUUUCCGGAAACCCUAACCUCACCCGCUUCGUUCGGUUGUGGUCUUUAAAUUCUCGUCGCUGCGUCGCCGCCAUGGCCGACUCCUCGGAGGAUUUCGUCAAGGGGAGCAUCUUCCCUAAUGGCGUCGCCGUCAUCACCCUCAAUCGCCCCAAAGCCCUCAACGCCAUGAAUCUCGAGAUGGACUUCAAAUACCAUACUUUACUCGAUGAAUGGGGAAUUAACCCCAGCAUCAAAUGUGUUUUGGUGGAGAGCAGCUCACCUCGGGCCUUUUCAGCAGGUGGUGAUGUGAAGCAGAUUACGACCAAGUACAAAAUGUCAGAAAUAAUUGAGGUCUUUAUUGCAGAAUAUACUCUGAUUUGUAAAAUUUCUGAGUAUAGAAAGCCUUAUAUAUGCUUCAUGGAUGGUGUGACCAUGGGGUUUGGAAUUGGGUUGUCUGGUCAUGGGCGGUAUCGAAUUAUCACAGAGAGGACUCUUCUUGCCAUGCCAGAAAAUGGAAUUGGCUUGUUUCCAGAUGUUGGCUUUGCUUAUAUUGCAGCAAAUGGUCCAGGAAGAGGGGCGGUUGGUGCUUAUCUUGGAAUGACUGGGAAAAGAAUUUCAUCACCUGCUGAUGCAUUAUAUAUGGGUCUUGGAACACAUUAUGUGCCAUCUGGAAGUUUGGCCAUGUUGAAGGAAGCUCUUUUAAAUGUUAACUUCUCUGAUGACCCUGACAAAGAUAUCCAGGCACUGUUGGCUGGUCAUAAAAAGGAACCAGAAUCAGAGGCUCAACUGAAAAUGCUUUUGCCGCAGAUUAUUUCUUGUUUUGCAAAUAAAUCCAUCUCUGAGACAAUAGAAGAGUUAAAAAGGCACCAAGCUAGUUCUGACUCUGUGGUGGCAAGCUGGGCUAGCGAUGCGCUUUCAGGCCUUGGUACAGGUGCUCCCUUUUCUCUUUUUGUAACUCAGAAGCACUUCUCCCAAGUUGCACUUGCACAUGGAAGUGUGGAUAACCAUUUAGCAAAACUAAGUGGCAUAAUGAAGACUGAAUUUCGAAUUGCUUUGAGAUCUUCAAUCCGGAAUGAUUUUGCUGAAGGUGUACGGGCAGUCUUGGUGGACAGAGACCAGAAUCCAAAGUGGAGACCGUCCAACUUGGCGGACGUUGACAUAGCUGAAGUGGAAUCGGUUUUUGAUCCCUUGCCUCAUGAAAAUGAACUAAAUGUAUGAUAAUUUGCAGAAUUGGGAGCAUAAAGAAACCAAGGGCAACUUUCUUCUUUAAACUUCCUUAUUAGCAAAUUAGUGGAAAAGGAAGGAAACGAACGAUGAGCAUAAUUUAAAUACCCUCUGUCAUACAGCUGAAGGAUGUGGCACUUGGUGGAAGCUCCGGAAAAGCUGGUCGAUGAGAAGCACAACUGUUCCCAUGUACUAUGGCCUAAUUGCAAGGUAAGUGGAAGUAGCACGUCGUUUCGUUGUUGCCGUCUCUUGGUAAGAAUAAUUGCAGAAACUUAUUAUUAUUCAGACUUUCCUCCAUCUUAUCAAUAAUUCUUUAAUUAUUGAUAAUUUUUAAAAAAUAAUAAAAUAUUAUUCGUCUUAAUAUUAUUGAUUU
Molecule: RNA transcript, 1962 nt
Organism: Musa acuminata AAA Group (dessert banana)
Lineage: Eukaryota; Viridiplantae; Streptophyta; Magnoliopsida; Zingiberales; Musaceae
Gene name: 3-hydroxyisobutyryl-CoA hydrolase-like protein 3, mitochondrial
Exons: 11
Source: RefSeq, a predicted model, not a curated record